AGUGCAACUUAAGGUUGCCACAUAAGCUUUGAGGGCUAGCUGGGCAAGUUUCAGCAUUGUCCAUUGAAAAGACUUGAUUUUACUUUUUGUAGUGGUUGCCAAUCAAAACAAUGACGACGUAAUUGCAUUUGGCACGAAGGUUUAGGACUUUAGGUGCACUUCUUCUGUUAUGUGGGUGCCAAGGGGUGGUGAUGUUUUCUUUUAAGUUUUGCACUUGAAUUUCCUUAAGAUUUCUAUACAGAUUGCCUAGGGAAGAGGGGGAGGGAUGUGGGUGGGACGAUUUUUUUAUCAAUAAGUGAAUUUUAAACUUGAAUAUAGGUUAUUGCGGUUGAAUUAUAAAUAAAGUAUUGCACUUGACUUAUAUGUAUAUAUUUUUGUUUGACAUGAGCCACAACUCUCUUGGUGUCUUUUUUCUCACAUGCGAUGCUCCUUUUAACUUUCCCAAUUCCAUAGGAAAUGAAAUGAAAACAAUUUUCCGCUUCCAUUUCCAAAUUUUUUUAAAAGAUGUUUGGUAAGCCAAAAUGAGAAUUCUUGGUGGAAAGCACAAUUUUGAAAAUAUCUUUUGUGCUUCACUAAGAUAGUUUUGUUUUUUUUCCUAUUUUGACCAAAAGGUUAAGUUUUUUUUCAUAUAAAGAAUUCGAGAAAGUUUUAGAGAAGGUUCAUGUUCCUUACCAAUUCUCUGUGUAAGUAAAGUUUCUGGAGCUCACUUUCCUAUCCUCAACACCAUUCAGCUUUGCAUUGUAGCUCUGGGGGUGGGGGUGCGUUCUACUGCGAUGAAGGUGAUUUGUGUAAGGAAAGUUGACACAGCAUGUAUAUACCAAUGGCCAAUCAUUUUGGACAUGGAUGGCUUCUCUAUGAAGCCGUUUUCUGGUACAA
Syzygium oleosum is the source of this 876-nucleotide long non-coding RNA. RefSeq lists it as uncharacterized. The transcript has 2 exons. Lineage: Eukaryota; Viridiplantae; Streptophyta; Magnoliopsida; Myrtales; Myrtaceae. The record is from RefSeq and is a predicted model, not a curated record.